This 346-nucleotide long non-coding RNA is filed under the name Coffea arabica (coffee). RNAcentral's name for it is "long non-coding RNA (CARA_LNC008067)". The record is from RNAcentral. Lineage: Eukaryota; Viridiplantae; Streptophyta; Magnoliopsida; Gentianales; Rubiaceae.
AAAAGAAUUUCGUCCUCGAAAUUCCUUAUCAGCGGAAUCCCUCAAAUCUAAGGUACCCAACGGAUCAAGCAAAUGACAAGCCCAAAUUGCCUACCUAGGCUCUCAUCUCUUCCGUAUCCGGGCACAAGAAUCCCAUCUAAGAUAAUUCACAACUCGAGCCGGCCGGUCCCAAGAGUAAACCAUCCUUAUUAAAGAUUCCUACCCGACAUACAUACCUAGUUUCCUCGAGUCCCAUGAUAAUGAUUCGCACACUUAUCACAUGCCCGGUUCAUAACUUACGCUCAAACGAGCACUUAAACACAUUCAUGAAAUUAGGACCACAACACCACUUGGCCCAGUCUCACUC